UUACAAGGAGAAAUUGGCACUCUGCAACCUGAAAGAGGUUUCUCACCAGAUCUCAUCCUUACUGGUUAUGAUCCAGUAAGAUUGAUAAACCGGCACAUAAAAAACUAAUUUAUUACAGCACACACAGAACAGUUGAUUGUCAUCAAACAGCUUGCAAAAGAACUGAUGUGAAAGUAGGACGAAAGGGCAAAGAAAAAGAGAUCAAUGUGACCCUGAAUGAAA
Long non-coding RNA from Hyaena hyaena (striped hyena), 222 nucleotides. RefSeq lists it as uncharacterized. The transcript is spliced from 3 exons. The record is from RefSeq and is a predicted model, not a curated record. Lineage: Eukaryota; Metazoa; Chordata; Mammalia; Carnivora; Hyaenidae.